This is a long non-coding RNA of Panicum virgatum (switchgrass), 410 nucleotides long. RefSeq lists it as uncharacterized. Lineage: Eukaryota; Viridiplantae; Streptophyta; Magnoliopsida; Poales; Poaceae. The record is from RefSeq and is a predicted model, not a curated record. The transcript has 2 exons.
CGGGCAGAGUGUGAGACUCGCCGACAGCCCACACCCCCAGCAACCCACAGGUUGAUUCGCAGUCAGCGAUGCCGCCGGUGGUCUCGAGAUCCGACAGGAUAGUUCGCCGGACGGCGAUGGUCGGCGCUGCCACCGCCGCCUACUUGCUCCUCACCGCCGACUACGGCCCCAACUACCCCAACCCCAUAAGGAAGGGCAUGGAAUCGUUGGCGCUCUUCUCCAAACCAGACAGGAGCGUUCAGCAGGCUCAACAAGCUGAAACUAAUUCGAAGCAGCCAGAUGGUAGUUAAAUAAAGUAGUAGUAGUACUUAUGCUAGCCGGAUCAGUUUAUUUCCCCUUGUUCCCAUCAUGUCCAUGUAUCGUGAACAGUACUACGUUUCAAUAAUAACCUGUGCCUGCUACGUUCAUUA